Molecule: transfer RNA, 67 nt
Filed under: Abraliopsis morisii
Lineage: Eukaryota; Metazoa; Mollusca; Cephalopoda; Oegopsida; Enoploteuthidae
Description: tRNA-Pro
Source: RNAcentral
CAGAGGGUAGUUUAGACAAAAUAUUAACAUUGGAAGUUAAAGAGUAAGUAUAAAACUUAUCCUCUGA